CGCUAUCACUCCUACGGUAGGCAGCAGUGGGGAAUAUUGCACAAUGGGCGCAAGCCUGAUGCAGCCAUGCCGCGUGUAUGAAGAAGGCCUUCGGGUUGUAAAGUACUUUCAGCAGUGAGGAAGGUGGUGUCGUUAAUAGCGGCAUCAUUUGACGUUAGCUGCAGAAGAAGCACCGGCUAACUCCGUGCCAGCAGCCGCGGUAAUACGGAGGGUGCGAGCGUUAAUCGGAAUUACUGGGCGUAAAGCGCAUGCAGGUGGUUUGUUAAGUCAGAUGUGAAAGCCCGGGGCUCAACCUCGGAAUUGCAUUUGAAACUGGCAGACUAGAGUACUGUAGAGGGGGUAGAAUUUCAGGUGUAGCGGUGAAAUGCGUAGAGAUCUGAAGGAAUACCGGUGGCGAAGGCGGCCCCCUGGACAGAUACUGACACUCAGAUGCGAAAGCGUGGGGAGCAAACAGGAUUAGAUACCCUGGUAG
RNAcentral lists this ribosomal RNA (472 nucleotides) under uncultured bacterium. RNAcentral's name for it is "bacterial SSU rRNA". It matches the Rfam family "Bacterial small subunit ribosomal RNA", at positions 328 to 793 of the family's 1533-position model. The record is from RNAcentral.